RNAcentral lists this long non-coding RNA (8653 nucleotides) under Sus scrofa (pig). Its description in RNAcentral is "lncRNA (ENSSSCG00000052466.1)". Lineage: Eukaryota; Metazoa; Chordata; Mammalia; Artiodactyla; Suidae. The record is from RNAcentral.
AGUGACGCCAGGGAUUGAACUCACAUCCUCAUGGAUACUAGUUGGGUUCCUCACCACUGAGCCACAAUGGGAAUUCCUGAGACACAAGUUUUGAUAUAUCUCUUCAGUUUGAUAAUUCCUCUAUAAGGAAUUUUUAAUUUGACACAUGAUUAUUUUCUGAUUUAUUGGCUCUAAAUUUAGUUAUGUACCAUAUUAAACUUGAGCACAAAAAUUGCAGAAUGCAAGUAUGUAGCUGCUGAGCUAAAUUUCUACUAAUUCUGGACUUCCUCUGGGACUCUGUGUGGUUUCCUGAUGUGAGUUAACUCCUCUGGGACUCUGUGUGGUUUCCUGAUGUGAGUUAACUCCCCCAAGCUCCACAGUAAGACCAGCCCCACUCUUCUGGGGGGAUUGCUGGUGGGCUGGCUCGUUAAUUGUGGAACCACAGAAAUGCAUAGCCUCUCCAUGCCAAACUUGACUAUGGAAAAAACUUUGGGGGUGUAUUUUGGAAUCUAUCUCCCCUUUCCUUGUAGCCCCAAACUUCAUAAGAGAUACACCAUCUCUAGCUUCAGGAGUGGGGAGCGGAGGUGAGAUGACAGCGUUAGCAGGAUGAACCCUUCACACUUGCUCCCACGCUCUUUUCCUAAAAUGUCCUGCCUCUUCCCCCAUCUGUUUUAUAUCUCCUUUUCCUUCCAGGGAGAAGGCCCCAUUUUAUGAGUUUGCAUAGUUCUCCAGUUACUUUGCCUGCCUCAUAGUUGUCAGGGUGUCCUAGAAAACAGCAUUUUAGAAUCCAGGCUUUAUGCUCAUCAGCUUAUACAGGGUGGUGCUGGGCUGGAAAAUAGAGCAUGCCAUUGGAGGCUUCAAGUUUAGCAUGCUAACAGAGAUCUUCUGCCUAUCCUAUUUAAUGGGUUUUUUUUAAUGCAUAGGUUUUUUUUUUUUCUUUCUUUUUUUGCUCUUUAGGGACAUACCUAUGACAUAUGGAUAUUCCUAGGCUAGGGGUUGAAUUGGCACUGCAGCUGCCAGCCUAUGCCACAGCAACUCGGGAUCUGAGCUGCAUCUGUGACCUACACCACAGCUCAUGGCAACGCUGGAUUCUCAAUGCACUGAGUGAGGUCAGGGAUUGGACCGCAUCCUCAUGGAUACUAGUCAAAUUUGUUAACUGCUGAGCUGCAAAGGAAAAUCCUGUAAUGCUUAGUUUUUAAUAGGUCACUGCUCAGUCACUCUGAGCAGAGCAGGGCAAGAGAUUCAAGUGGGGGAGGGGUCUCCUCAGUGGAGUGAACACUGUCAUGUGACAAACUUCUGAGGAAGUCCUAAUUCAGGGAACCCCACCUCUUCACUCUAGGACUCCUGUUCUCUGCUUUCUGAGGGUAUCACAGAUGAGAAUACAACUAUGCAGUGGUCCUAGAAGAUUUUGUGGAAGUGAGUGCUGUACCAACACCCCUGCUUCUCUCACCUGCAGAGGCCCAACAGUUCUCAGGCACAGUCUGAUUUCCCUUCCACCAACACUGGGGUCUGAGGGAAAUAGGAGGCCCAAGGAGUCACUCAGCAGCAUGAGGGGCCUUGGCUGUGGCUACUGGGGAAACUCAUUCUAUGCUGCACAGAAGGACAGACAACUCAUGGGGCAAAAGUGCUGGGAAUUUUGAACAAUAGGACUUGUGUUCAACAAAGGGGACAGGUUGUGGGGGGCAGGGAUGGACUGGGGGUUUGGGAUUGAAAUAUACAUACUGUGGUGCAUGAAUGAUUGGCCAAAGGGGACCCUCUGUAGAGCACCAGGAACUCUAGCCAAUAUUCUGUGAUCAUCUGUGUGGGAAAAUAAUCUGAAAGAGAAUAGAUGUUUGUGCAUAUAUAACUGAAUUACUCUGUUGUACAGCAGAAAUGACCACAACCUUGUAAAUCAACUAGACUUUGACAAAACUUUAAAAAAUGAAAAAAAAAAGACUUGCAAUACUUGCUUUCAACAAUAAGAAGAGUUUAUUUAUUCACCUACUUGUUCACUCACUUAUUUGUUAUUUACUCAUCAAAUAAGUGUUAAGCUCCUGGCAGAGCCACAUGUUGGGGUGAGAAGGGAAAGACUGAUGAGGCCCCCCAGCAAUGUUAAUAGUGAUUUCCCCUAUGUGCUUAGUUAUGAGUGAUUUUCAUUUUCUUCUCUUUGUCAGAGUUUCCAAAGUGAGGACAUUGUUUUUAUUAUUAGGAUAAAAACAAUAAAUAUUUUUCCUGGCUGAUAUUUAAAAAAAAAUGUCUAAGAAUGGGAUGGAACAGAUAGACUUUAGCUAGAGAGAGAUUUGGGGUUAAGGGUAAGUCUCCAACAUGCACUAAGUUUGGUCUUGCGUAUAGGCAGAGAAAAAGAAGGCAGUGGUGAGAAAGAAGUGUAAGAUUGGAGGUUCCCAUUGUGGCACAGCAGAAACAAACCUGACUAGUAACCAUGAGGAUUCAGGUUCAACCCCUGGCCUCGCUCAUUGGGUUAAGGAUCUGGUGUUGCUGUGAGCUAUGGUGUAGGUUGCAGAUAUGGCUCAGAUCUGGUAUUGCUGUGGCUGUAGCUGGCAUCUGUAGCUCCAAUUCAACCCCUAGCCUGAGAACUUCCAUAUGCUGCAAGUGUGGCCCUAAAAAGCAAAGGAAAAAAAAAGAAGAAGAAGAGUAAGAUUGCCUAAAUGUCAUAGGGUUCCCAAAGAGGAAAAAGGGGUUGGGGUACAGAAUAGAACAGAGAGAGUCACUGCAGACAGGAGGAAAUACCAUUGCUGUAUAGAAAUGAGAGGGAAAAUGGGAGGAUCGAUAUAAGGAGAUAAAUUUUACUUUUUAAACCCCAAACACUGGCAAAGCAAAGCAAGGUCAGGGACUAGGACACACUCAAAUCUGCUUUUGUCUGUGAAUAGGCAUCAACUCAUACAGAGUCAGAAAACCCACUUGCAGAAGCUGUGUUAGUGACUCAUUUUCCUUGUGAAGUAGGUAAGGAUGUCAACCCCAAAGGGAGGGAGAAGCAGCAGGACUGAAUUCUUGAAAAGACUGAUGAAGAUAGGGAACAGCCUCAAAUGGAAUGUGGCCAAGAAUUUUCCAUCAGCAUUGAAAACCCAACUGGGAUCCCAAGCCCUAAAUAUGUAGGAGUUCAAAUUCUCUCAUCUCAUAGUCAUUUGUGAAAUCUUCUUAUACAAUGGCACUUAGCAACUUGAGAAUGGAGCCAAGAAGGUGAAGAGCUGGAUUGGUCCAGAGCUGGAAUAUUUCCAGAAAGCCAAAAUAGGAAAGGAGUUUGGUUUUUAAUAAAGGUAUGACUUAAGUGAUGGUAUAAUAAACAGGAAGGAAAAUAGAAAGUGAAGGAAUGAGCUACACUGGAAGACUCAUUUAGGCUGAAGAAUAAGCUCAGCAGGAAAAAGGGAAUGAGAAAGCAAGGUGGACAAGAAAGCAGUGCCCUGAAAUGUAGGAAGGGCUCAGUGGGGACAGGAUGCUGGACAGGGCUACGGGAGGAGAUGGGGGAAGCAUGGUGGAAAUGAAAGUUAUGAAAAAAAGAAGAGUUCAGGGAACAGAGAGGAUGGGAGAGCCCUCAAGAUAAUAACAACCAGGAUCCCACAUAGCCUUGUUUCCUGCCCAAGAAAGGAAGAUAGCUGUUUCUGAAAUAUUGCUCAAGAAAAACCUGAGCUUGUCUCUUAUUCAUGUCUGGAAACUUAAGUUGCACAGCACAUGGCCUGAGACCUCUUCAAUGCUAAAUAAAUCUUUGUUGAAUGAAUAAAUAACCUAGUGAUUUUGAAAUUUUGUUUCUCCAAUCCAUGUAUUUCCCCUAUGAGACAAAGUCAAUGGUAUUCCUUUGUUAUCCACCAAAGAAAGGAUUGACCGUAAGUGAAGCUUAGGCUGUGCAGAAGUUAUGAGUGAUCCUGGCUUUAGAAGAGGCUUAUGAUCCUGGCUUAACUCUUUGUGACUGUCACCAUUAUAUGGAUGCUCUACUUAAACCUAGAAUAAAAAAGACUGUGACCUGAGUCAACCUGUGCAAAGUUUGUGUUUUCCAUGAAAUAUUUUCAUGGUCUUGGCCUUAAAUAUCUGGAAAUGUAGGGCAGUAAUUAGGAAUAGAGCCAGGUCAGGGUCUUUGUGUCACAUCUGCACCCCAUAUCCCUUUAUUGUUGAGAGGACAAUUCCUGCAUUUGGUUCCAUGGAGUAGGGAGACAGUCUUGCACCUCCUGAUAUUUAGCUUCCUUGCCCAUAUGUUCACUGCUUACCAUCAGGGCUGAUGAGCAGGCUCCUGCCCAAUCUUCCAUAUACUCCUCAUUAUCAGGCUGGAGAAGCUAGAAUAGGAACUGCCAGCAAUGGCCUCUUAGCCAUGAGAUCCCACAGGAGUAGCGGAGAUGAGCUGGGAUCAGUCAUUUAAAGAGAACUGGUCCAGGUGGACUGUUGGGCCUUUGGAGAUGCAGUCUGAAGAAGGAGCCUCUGGCUGAACUCUAACGAGCCCUGGACACCUUUUCCAAAGAUGAAGAUGAGCAAACAUAAGCCUCUCCAUGUUGUCUGUUUGGCAACAGAUAGGAGGCCUGAAGGCAAAGGCAAAUGUGUCUGGGCACAUUUAGCUUCUUGACUAGUCAAGUUUAUUCUAGCAGAUCCUGCUGACCUACAUGUACCAGUCACCCAGCUGGUUUUCACAGCUACCACCCCUCAGUAUUCAUCCCCAAUUUCUUUUUCUUUCUUUUUUUCUUUUUUUUUUUGCUUUUUAGGGCCAUACCUAUGCCAUAUGGAAGUUCCCAGGCUAGGGGUCAAAUUGGAGCUGUAGCUGCUGGCCUAAGCCACAGCCACAACAACAUGGGAUCCAAGACACGUCAGUGACCUACACCACAGCUCACUGCAACACCGGAUCCUUAACCCACUGAGCAAGGCCAGGGAUCAAACCUGCAUGCUCAUGGAUAUUUGCUGGGUUCGUUUCUGCUGUGCCACAAGGGGAACCCCUUCAUCCCCAUUCUUGACCUUACUUCUCUGAUACUUGACCUCCUGGAGCUAUUUUGUCUUGCCUUGGCUUAGCUCCUCUUGCCUGUAAUUUCAUUGGCUCCUUUCUCAGUUUUCGAUAUUUGGCUUAUUCUUUCUGGCAUGUUUAUUUCCAAUCUCCAGCUCGUUGGGGAUGGUAAUGGCGUGGAUAAAGUGAGAGCAGGAGCUGACUUGGUCCAGGAGGUUCUUUACUUUACUGUGAGGAUCUCAUUGAUAUUCUAGUUAGGAAGAAUGGGUAGAAUUUAACACCAGACUUAAAUUACUGUACAUAAAUAUGGUCACUUUUCUAGUCUUUUGUAGUAUAUGCUGUCAAUAUAGUGAAAAUAUACAACCUGAAAUUUGAGAGUUUAGUUUUAUUUGGGGCAAAAUUAGGUCCUAAGCCGCAAGCCAGCAUCUCAGGUAGCUCUGUGAAACCCCUAGAGGCAGUGAGGGAGAAACUAGGAUAUAUGGGAGUUUUAACAAGGGCAGGGAGCAGGAACAAAAGAGGCCCGGGCUCACGGAAAUCAUUCCUUUGAUGUGCACCUCUGCAAUCAGAGCCAGUAUCCUGAGGGACAUUCACAGAUAACCUGACAUUCUUUAUCCUUAGCUACAGAAGGGCUGAAAUACCACCCCAGGAGGAAAAGGGGGAAUGUCAGGAUGUGAUAAAGGUGAGGGGGAGGUGCCUGCAGCAUACACACAUUUUACAAAAAUUUGUUGCUGAUCUCCUGAAGGUUACUACCAGUCACAAGGAGCAAACAUCACCACCAGCAAGGAUUUUAAUGUUUUUCUAGAUAUGAGGAGAUGCAAGAAUUGGGCACAUAAAAUCUAAAAAUACCUGACUAUCCAAAGACCUGUUCUUCCAGUUUCCCAGAGCGCAGAGUGCCUCAUUCCUGAUGUUCACCCUGAGGUCUGCUCAGGGGGUGUUGUGGGUUGGCCACUGCAGUGGCUCAUAAUUUAGUCCAUGUAGAGGCUGAUGGCAAGUGUUAAACUUCAGUUCACAAUGCCUAAUUCACAAGUGUUUGGAAAGCAUUCUCAAGGCGUUCAGUAGACUUGUUAACAUAACCUGGGGGGCAUCUGGUUUCACUCUCUCGGCUGCAGAGUGUGUUGUGUGUUAUUGCCCAUAGGUUUCUGACCAGCCAUCUGCUCGCUAGCAUACCCCUGCCUUUGGGAUACAGAGCAACUGUUGCAUUUUAUUACUUUUUUUUUGUUUGUUUUUUUGUGUUUUCUUGAGCCGCUCCCAUGGCAUAUGGAGGUUCCCCCUAGGGAACCCGGUCUACAUGUCUGCAACCUACACCACAGCUCAUGGCAAUGCCAGAUCCUCAACCCACUGAGCAAGGCCAGGGAUCGAACCCACAACCUCAUGGUUCCUAGUCGGAUUCAUUAACUACUGCGCCAUGACGGGAACUCCCAUUUUAUUACUUUUAUCUUUUUGGAUCCAGAUAGGUGAUGUUCAACUCAGUGCAAAUCUAGUCUUCUGAGAUUCUUUUUUCUGAAAACUUUGGGUCUUUAAAGAGAAUUUUCAACUGAGCUCAGCUCAGAUGGUCCCUCUCCUAGUUCUUGCUAUGGAUGGCCUCCUGGAGGGCAGCUUAGACACACAUCUUACCCCUGCAGUUCUGCUUUCGUCUGUGUUUUUACUUUUCUGCCCUGGCACGCAUUUUUUUUUUUCUAUAAUCUUAUAGCAACAGAACAGAAUCAGUCUGCCUCAGGCAAUUUGGAAUUACCACAGGGCAAAAACAAAGGGGCUUUUUGUUUUGUUGUUAUGGCAUGUUCAGGAUUUCACUAGUUGGUCUAGUAAUAAAUUCUACAUAUUUAAAUAUUUUAGGUGUUUAAAUCUAUUUUCCAUGUUAUCUUCUCAACAAUGACUUUUACUUUCAUCAUAUCAUUCUAUAUAUGACCUUUAAAAAUCUUUCCUGCUCUCAACACUUGCUUAUCCCUAGAAAAAGGAACCAAAGAUUUAAUGUCAAUAAUUUAUAUCUGUUGAUUGAUAGUUUGUGUUUUUUUCUGAAACUCAUUUACUUUAGAGCAUUACUUCAAUUAGCACAUGUCUUUUAGGACUUUCACUCUAAUUAAAAAAUUGAAAGCUUUUUAUUUUUGUUCUUAAACAAUUUUAGGUAACAGCUAGGAUGAGGAGGUAAAAUGUUGACACCACUUCAGGGUAACAACCAAUUUGGUGCUUGAAGCAUCGGUAACCAGGUAGGGGUUCAGAUGGUAAAGGAUAAGUGAUACAGGGAUGGCCAGGUUAUCUUCCAGGGUGUUCCUUACACCCCCAAGGGAGAUAAGGUCACUCGUUUCCUUGGAGGAUGUUGCAAGUCUUUAAUUUGCCACCAGAUCCUUCCAGAACGGAGAACUACUUGGCUGUAAUGAAGACCCUAUGUCAGAAUUUUUUUCAAGUUAUGUAAACCGUCCUCCCCCAAAGAUAUGUGGAAAUUGUAACCCCCUUGACCUGGCAUCUAUGAAUACAACAUUAUUCGGAAGAGGAGUCUUUGCAAACAUAAUUAAGAUAAAAUGAGGUUAUACUGGAUUAGAUGUGACCUAGUUGGGAAUUUUGGACAUGAAGACACACAGCAAGAGCCAUGUGGUGAUGGGGCAGAGAUAGGGGUUACAUGUCUAUAAUCCAAGUGUUGCUGGGAUAAGGGUAACCACAGAUUAAAAUAAGGCUUCAUUUGAAAAUAAGCAAAGAGACUUCCCACUCUUCCCUUUCUUACUUACUUUAGAAAGAUAUUAAGUAUAAAUUCUUCUUCUCUCCCUUCCAAAUAAAUGUAUGUAAAUUUCUAAAACCUAAAUAAAGCCCUCCAACUCAGCUUUCCGCCCACAGGAAUGUCUUUCUCAAAGAUUUUAAGAGCCAUCUCUUCGAAACACAAUCAUUAAGGAAUCCCUGUUUCCAAUUUUCUUCGGGAGACAACUUCCACAAGCACCUCACUCCUGCCAUAAAAAUAUGGGAAGUUGAAUUUUCCUUCCAAUAAAGCCAAUUAAAACAGACAUGGCCACCUCAGUUUAUGAGGUGAAUCUAGGAUGAACUGUGUGACAAGUGGAGCUAAAUCCUUUUACCAAAAGACUAGUUUACUUGAGAACAUAUAUGAGGUAGGUUGCUAGGCCCUAUAAAGGGUGAGAUUUCUUUCUGUCUUUGCAUUUCCUUAGAGGAUUGCCUGUAAGGGCCUCUCAUUCUUGCUUAAUGCCUAUUCAAUAAUAAAAUGGUUAUGAUCUCUUCUACUUUAUCAAGAGGUUUUCUAGGUUGGAAGAAGAUUUUCUUUUUAAUUCCAUUUUCUUGACAACCAGAAAUCCUCAGAAGCCAGGAAGACACAAGGAAGGAUUUUGUCCUAGAGGCUCUGCUGACAUACAGAAUUCAAACCUCAAGCCUCCAGACCUGUGAAAGAGCACAUCUCUGCUGUUUUAAGCUGCCCAGUUUGUGGUACAGUGUUAUGGCGGCACUUAGGACAGAAAUUCAGCCACCCAAGGCUGGUAAGGCCGCUCUGCUCUGGAAAUGGAGUCUGAGGCUCACAGGCUUCUGUUCUGCCAUCUCGAGGAUGUACCUUUUGGGCUUAUUGUUCAGAUGGAGAUAAAACUACUGAAAUCUUCAUUCCGAUGGCACGGUAGGGCUUACAUCAGUUGUUUCUUAAGGAAGAUUCCUGAAAGCUGUCACAGGAGCUUCUACAGGAGCCUUAAAGAUCACAUAAGCAUGUCUAGUUUCUUGGAAACAUAAUGUUUAUUCUCUAUGGCCCUGUGUACAGCAAAAAACAAACAAACAAAC